This is a long non-coding RNA of Gordionus sp. m RMFG-2023, 220 nucleotides long. RefSeq lists it as uncharacterized. NCBI's taxonomy places the organism in Eukaryota, Metazoa, Nematomorpha, Gordioida, Chordodea, Parachordodidae. The transcript has 3 exons. The record is from RefSeq and is a predicted model, not a curated record.
AAAUCAGAAGAAGUAAUUUAUUUGUUGAUUUUUUAUGAGACUAUCAUUUUCCUUGACUGAAAUCGGAGUGCCAGAUACCAAUUUUUAGAGAUUAUCAUUUUAUUUGAAUUCCUGAAAUCAGAAGAACUUAUGAUGGAUGAUAUUCCCACUAUUUCUAGAGAGAUAACAAGCCCUGUCUUACCCAUAUUUAAUGAUUGUACAGGUGGUAUAUUGACUCCUC